AACCUUUAGCCCAACUAACAUUAAAGGCAACGCCUGCCCAGUGAACAAUUAAACGGCCGCGGUACCCUAACCGUGCAAAGGUAGCGUAAUCACCUGUCUAUUAAUUGUAGACCCGUAUGAAUGGCAAAAUGAGGGUCUAACUGUCUCUUGUAAUAAAUCAAUUAAACUGAUCUCCCAGUCCAAAAGCUGGGAUAAAAACAUAAGACCAGAAGACCCUGUGAAGCUUAAACUAAACGAUUAAAACAAAUAAUACCUCCUUUCGGUUGGGGCGACCUUGGAAAAAAAAAGAACUUCCAACAUAUAUGUGACUACCUCAUAAUAACACAGGCAGACAAGCCAAAAACUAGACCCCAGCAUAGCUGACUAUUGAACCAAGUUACUCCAGGGAUAACAGCGCCAUCUUCUUCAAGAGCCCAUAUCAAAAAGAAGGUUUACGACCUCGAUGUUGGAUCAGGACAUCCUAAUGGUGCAGCCGCUAUUAAGGGUUCGUUUGUUCAACGAUUAACAGUCCC
This 512-nucleotide ribosomal RNA is filed under the name Mehelya stenophthalmus (Small-eyed file snake). Its description in RNAcentral is "Gonionotophis stenophthalmus (Small-eyed file snake) partial 16S ribosomal RNA". It matches the Rfam family "Bacterial large subunit ribosomal RNA", at positions 1816 to 2597 of the family's 2925-position model. Lineage: Eukaryota; Metazoa; Chordata; Lepidosauria; Squamata; Lamprophiidae. The record is from RNAcentral.